UACGGGGGGGGUAAGCGUUGUUCGGAAUUACUGGGCGUAAAGGGCUCGUAGGCGGCCAACUAAGUCAUACGUGAAAUCCCUCAGCUUAACUGGGGAACUGCGUGUGAUACUGGAUGGCUUGGAUUUGGGAGAGGGAUGCGGAAUUCCAGGUGUAGCAGUGAAAUGCGUAGAGAUGUGGAGGAAUACCGAUGGCGAAGGCAGCCCCCUGGGAUAACACUGACGCUCAUGCACGAAAGCGUGGGGAGCAAACAGG
RNAcentral lists this ribosomal RNA (253 nucleotides) under uncultured bacterium. RNAcentral's name for it is "partial 16S ribosomal RNA". It matches the Rfam family "Bacterial small subunit ribosomal RNA", at positions 524 to 776 of the family's 1533-position model. The record is from RNAcentral.